CAGUUAUUUAAUAAUGUAUGGUUCCUGUGAUUGUUUUCAUUAUCAGUCCUGUGUUAGAGUUUGGGGUCACAGUAAAAUAACUGAAUUUCACUAAGAAUGCUGUACUGAUAAAACCCUUGGAGAACUCAGAUCCAGAGUAUACCAAAACCACGCGGCAAAUAUAAUGCCAAAAUCAGUACCAGAUGUAGAUAAGGUUACAAUAUAAAUAUUAAUACACCUAAUACAAUAUAUAUGACUUUUUAUUCCAGCCACCGAUAUCUGAGCUCAACACAUGUAUAAAGGAUACGCCCAGUCUUAUCUCAAAAUUGAAACAG
Molecule: non-coding RNA, 314 nt
Organism: Pelobates cultripes (western spadefoot toad)
Lineage: Eukaryota; Metazoa; Chordata; Amphibia; Anura; Pelobatidae
Source: the annotation of a GenBank genome assembly